Molecule: long non-coding RNA, 1367 nt
Filed under: Equus caballus (horse)
Lineage: Eukaryota; Metazoa; Chordata; Mammalia; Perissodactyla; Equidae
Description: lncRNA (ENSECAG00000044488.1)
Source: RNAcentral
CUCUAUCAUCCCCGAGGGCUUUCAUCCUCUGCAUGGUAGAGACUGUAAAUCCUAGCUGAUAAGGAGUAAGGCAUGGUGGAGGCAUACUCGUGGUCCUAAGACUUAGGUCCAUAAGGGGCACAUAUCACAUUAUGUUCCGUGGAGAAAAACAAUGAAAUGACUCCAUUAUGACAAGGAGGCUGGAAAAUUCCGUUUAGUUUUGAAUCUAGAAAUAAAGGGAAAAUGCAUUUUGGUAGGCAACUAACAGUCUUCACCUGUGCUGUUUUGGUUGAUCAUAUUGAGGUUUCGCAAUGAUGUGCAGUUUUUCCUCCGGAAAAAGGUUACCUGCAAAUCAUAUUUAAUGCUAUUAAUUCCCAAUCCAUAUGUAAAUGUACAAGAAGGCUAUAUGGGAAAGAGCAUUUCUUGAAUUCAAGUUUGGAAUCUUUAAAUGUUUAUCUGAAGAUCUAAGAGGAAAGUCCAAUAUUUAGAAGAAUCCCCGACACGAGAGCUCAGCAUGGCUUACACCGUGAUUUCAGCCAGCCUUGUGAUAUUCUGAGCAGAGAACUUGGCCAUUCUGUGCUGGACUUCUGACCUACAGAACUAACCUUCUAGAAUCAGCUGUUUGCAGCUACCUCCCCCCUAAGACUGUGAGGGCAGGGACGGUGGCCUACUCAUAUUUGAAUUCCUAUGGAGUCCCCAUCCUUCCAGAAGAAAACCAGCUGAAGCGUUCAGGAGCUGAUUACUUUCUUCACAGAGAAGAAUGAUGUGAGGGUGGGGCCAGGUGCUACUUAGAAAUGUGGGUGAUUCUCAAAAUGGAUAACAAGAAGAGGAUUGAAUUCUGCAUCAAAAGACCUUGAUGGUUUGUAUUUGGAUAAGUCGUGUGGAAUUAUCUGUAAGGUCACUGCAAACAAUGAGAAAGCUAAAUUGACUGCCUGAAAAACAAAUUGGAUAUUUUGGGAUUGUGAGGUUUGCAAGAAGAGCACAAAUGUGAGAAAACUCUUGAGGGAUCAAGAGACCACAGGAGAGCAUCAGGAGAGAAGUAGACUUGUGAGAAAAUGUCCACAUUGGCGAUGGCUGAGAGGAUUUUGUUUUGAGACCAACAGGGUCUGAGAAAUUAAAAGUAAUUUUUGCUCAAAGCAGAAGUCAUCAUCAACAAAUAAUUUUCCUCUCAGCUUUAUUGAGGUGUAAUCGCAAGAUAUUUAAAGUGUACACAUGAUGAUUUGAUCUGAAUUCUGAUCAUUCUCCCCUGAUCUUGUUUCAACUUGGAUUACAACUUCCUCAUGUAUGAUGCAUCGAGUUAAUAGGAUUUGUAUCGCCAUAGGCACUGUUGCCAUUUCCUAUGCAAUAGCAGGCAAGUGGAGAUGCUGAUUAGAAAUAUGGUAAUGAAA